ACACAUGCAAGUCGAGCGGAUGAAGAGAGCUUGCUCUCUGAUUCAGCGGCGGACGGGUGAGUAAUGCCUAGGAAUCUGCCUGGUAGUGGGGGACAACGUUUCGAAAGGAACGCUAAUACCGCAUACGUCCUACGGGAGAAAGCAGGGGACCUUCGGGCCUUGCGCUAUCAGAUGAGCCUAGGUCGGAUUAGCUAGUUGGUGAGGUAAUGGCUCACCAAGGCGACGAUCCGUAACUGGUCUGAGAGGAUGAUCAGUCACACUGGAACUGAGACACGGUCCAGACUCCUACGGGAGGCAGCAGUGGGGAAUAUUGGACAAUGGGCGAAAGCCUGAUCCAGCCAUGCCGCGUGUGUGAAGAAGGUCUUCGGAUUGUAAAGCACUUUAAGUUGGGAGGAAGGGCAGUAAGUUAAUACCUUGCUGUUUUGACGUUACCGACAGAAUAAGCACCGGCUAACUUCGUGCCAGCAGCCGCGGUAAUACGAAGGGUGCAAGCGUUAAUCGGAAUUACUGGGCGUAAAGCGCGCGUAGGUGGUUUGUUAAGUUGGAUGUGAAAGCCCCGGGCUCAACCUGGGAACUGCAUCCAAAACUGGCAAGCUAGAGUAUGGCAGAGGGUGGUGGAAUUUCCUGUGUAGCGGUGAAAUGCGUAGAUAUAGGAAGGAACACCAGUGGCGAAAGCGACCACCUGGGCUAAUACUGACACUGAGUGCGAAAGCGUGGGGAGCAAACAGGAUUAGAUACCCUGGUAGUCCACGCCGUAAACGAUGUCGACUAGCCGUUGGGAUCCCUUGAGAUCUUAGUGG
RNAcentral lists this ribosomal RNA (800 nucleotides) under Pseudomonas sp. Its description in RNAcentral is "bacterial SSU rRNA". It matches the Rfam family "Bacterial small subunit ribosomal RNA", at positions 51 to 846 of the family's 1533-position model. Lineage: Bacteria; Pseudomonadati; Pseudomonadota; Gammaproteobacteria; Pseudomonadales; Pseudomonadaceae. The record is from RNAcentral.